Balaenoptera ricei (Rice's whale) is the source of this 2045-nucleotide long non-coding RNA. RefSeq lists it as uncharacterized. The transcript is spliced from 2 exons. The record is from RefSeq and is a predicted model, not a curated record. Lineage: Eukaryota; Metazoa; Chordata; Mammalia; Artiodactyla; Balaenopteridae.
UCCCGCCCUGCCUAAAGCCACGCCCCCAGCCGGCUGGUGGGCCAGACCUUAACUCCCCGCGUGCGCCCUCACCAGGCUGAUUAAUUGCGCUAGGCUGAGACCAACGCUGACCCCGACGCGGUCUCCCACCUCCCGCGCCGGCCUCACCGAGCUAUCAUAGCCCGAGAAAAGUUUCUCACGGAGUCGGCCCUCCGCUUCCGAGCCGCGGGCGCCUGGAGGAGGAGAGAACUGAGUGAAGCUCUGGUUCCUGGCCACGACCUCUGGCCCUGUCACUGCCCCUUUGAGGCCCAGACUUACCCGGGGCGAACGGCGCCCCCAACGCCCCCAGCAGCAGCAGCAGCAGCAGCAGCGCCCCUGGUGUCAUAGCCCGCCCGCGUCGCUCAGUGAGUCCGCUUGGAUGAGCCGCCAGGACAGCCAGCGCAGGGGAAGUGACGAGGCGCCCAGGAAUGUGCACCUGUUAUUGGGGGGCAGCCCACCCGCCCCGCCCCGCCCCUGCGACUUGAUCCCUCCCCGAGCAACUGCCAAAGCCUGCUACCCACAGAUGGCAGACAACACUUCAAUUGUAUAAAUCGUCUUUAAUUGAGAAAGCAUGGAGUGGAGACCGGUCCCCUGGGAGCAGAGCCUUUUUGGGUACCUAACAUCCAGCUGAGGCCCAGGUACCAGGACCGGCCAGAACGACGCUGGCGAUAGAGAGCAGAGGCGUACAGGACAUAGUAAUUCUCAGAGACGCACUCCUUAAAGCGACACUCAGCUGUGAAAUGUGGCUGAGGAGACAAAGACCCAGAAAGGCACACACAGACAGAAAGACAAAAAGACGCAUCACUGAACAGAAGGGAGCCCUGGGAAGAACAAGGCAGGAUAUAAUCCAUACGUUUGAGACUGGGAGAGCCAACUUCUGAGCCCACGCAGGAACUGGGAGAAAGGGAGGAUGAGGAAGAGUCUGGUGGCCCCCGAGGGCCAGGAACUAGACUUCUGGGGGCCUGGAAUAAGAAGAUAACUUCUCUCUGCUCUACUCCCAACCUCUCACCAUCCAGGGGACCUGGAGAGAAUUUCUGCUUGGAGGAGUUCCUGAAUCCUUCCCCAGUAUCCUGAAUGACUCUGGGGAAGUGAGUAAUAAUGAGGUCUAGAGGAGGUUGGAGAAGACACAGGGGUUCUAAAAGGUUGAAAGAGUUGGACAUUCAAAGAGCCUGGGGGUGUUUAGGAGGCUAUUGGAGGAGAAGGGAUUGGAGGGACCCUAGAGGAGGUGCUUGGGAGCGGGCAGUGAGGACAGGGUGUCGGCAAGAGCUGGAGGGAGAGGAGGCCCUGAGCUGCAAAAUAUCUGUAGUUGGGAAGGCUGUAGCUAGGGGAGUCCCCUGACUCCAGGCCACUCUGCCCCCUUGUCUCACCGAGCUGUAGAGCAGCCCCUCAGCGUUCAUGGCCAUGUAGUGACCCAGCUUGGCACUCUGGAUGGUGACUACACGGAGCCCCACAGGGAUCAGGUUGAAGUGGGCUGGGGGUGGAGAGAAGAGGUAUCAGUACCCCAAGCCUCCAAUCCCCAUCUGAGCCCCCCCUCAAUUCUGGUCCCAGUUCUACUUCUUCCUUUGCGGGGUCAAAGAGCCAGACUGAAAACAACAGAACCUGAAGCCACAAUAGGAUUGUCAUCUCCUAUGCCUGCUCUCCCCCUUCCCACCCAGCAGCUGGCUUCCCCUCUCACUGAAAGAGCUGGUGUCCUCUGGGGUGCCCUGGAUACUCCCGUCGGGAUUCGCCUGGAGGUAGAAACCCUGGCAGCAGAACAGUUUGGUGACGAUGCCUUUGAGCUGAGGCUCUGGAGAAAGAGACAUUCAUCUUGGAACAUGACAUCUCUGUUCCCAGAAACAUUGCUACACUUGGCGGGAUCAGAGGAGAGAAAGAAAGGAGGAUGGAGGGAAGGAAGAGGGUCCCAGGGCCCCAGCUCCCUGACCCUCUAAGCAAGGUCUCUCCCACCUCUCUUUGACUCCAGAGGAAGCUGGGGUGUGGGUCCCUUCUGCUUCCUCUAACCAGCUUUCAGUUUAAUUGAUUGAAAUUUA